This 508-nucleotide ribosomal RNA is filed under the name uncultured bacterium. RNAcentral's name for it is "partial 16S ribosomal RNA". It matches the Rfam family "Bacterial small subunit ribosomal RNA", at positions 28 to 507 of the family's 1533-position model. The record is from RNAcentral.
GACGAACGCUGGCGGCGUGCCUAAUACAUGCAAGUCGAACGCUUCUUUCCUCCCGAGUGCUUGCACUCAAUUGGAAAGAGGAGUGGCGGACGGGUGAGUAACACGUGGGUAACCUACCCAUCAGAGGGGGAUAACACUUGGAAACAGGUGCUAAUACCGCAUAACAGUUUAUGCCGCAUGGCAUAAGAGUGAAAGGCGCUUUCGGGUGUCGCUGAUGGAUGGACCCGCGGUGCAUUAGCUAGUUGGUGAGGUAACGGCUCACCAAGGCCACGAUGCAUAGCCGACCUGAGAGGGUGAUCGGCCACACUGGGACUGAGACACGGCCCAGACUCCUAAGGGAGGCAGCAGUAGGGAAUCUUCGGCAAUGGACGAAAGUCUGACCGAGCAACGCCGCGUGAGUGAAGAAGGUGUUCGGAUCGUAAAACUCUGUUGUUAGAGAAGAACAAGGACGUUAGUAACUGAACGUCCCCUGACGGUAUCUAACCAGAAAGCCACGGCUAACUACGUG